This is a small nucleolar RNA of Sphenodon punctatus (tuatara), 82 nucleotides long. Lineage: Eukaryota; Metazoa; Chordata; Lepidosauria; Sphenodontia; Sphenodontidae. The record is from Ensembl.
ACCAGAGUGAGAAAUGAGGAUAUUACUCUUUGUCUCAGUGUUACAAUGAAGACUUCAGAUCCAACUCUGAUCUCACUCAGAA